Molecule: non-coding RNA, 179 nt
Filed under: Comamonadaceae bacterium
Lineage: Bacteria; Pseudomonadati; Pseudomonadota; Betaproteobacteria; Burkholderiales; Comamonadaceae
Description: FMN sequence
Rfam family: FMN riboswitch aptamer (RFN element)
About the family: The RFN element is a highly conserved domain that is found frequently in the 5'-untranslated regions of prokaryotic mRNAs that encode for flavin mononucleotide (FMN) biosynthesis and transport proteins. This element is a metabolite-dependent riboswitch that directly binds FMN in the absence of proteins.
Source: RNAcentral
UCGCGUCUUCAGGGCGGGGCGGAAUUCCCCACCGGCGGUAGGCGAAGCAGCGGCACCCGUGCCUCCGGUCUUCGCGAGCCCGCGAGCGCCCCUGGCCAGGCAUCGCCCUGGCCAGGGGGUCAGCAGAUCUGGCCACACACCAGAGCCGACGGUCACAGUCCGGAUGAAAGAAGAUGCGC